GUGUUACAUGAAAGGAGAGAAGGUUAGCACUCCCCUUGAUUAGGAUAGAAGAGGUCCUAAUGACCUUUACAACACAUAUACAGCUGAGGAUUGCCACCUACUUUGUGGCAUCUAACCAUGUUUUUAC
RNAcentral lists this non-coding RNA (127 nucleotides) under Notamacropus eugenii (tammar wallaby). The record is from RNAcentral. Lineage: Eukaryota; Metazoa; Chordata; Mammalia; Diprotodontia; Macropodidae.